Long non-coding RNA from Hordeum vulgare subsp. vulgare (domesticated barley), 1884 nucleotides. RefSeq lists it as uncharacterized. The transcript has 2 exons. The record is from RefSeq and is a predicted model, not a curated record. Lineage: Eukaryota; Viridiplantae; Streptophyta; Magnoliopsida; Poales; Poaceae.
AUUAGAACUAAAUUAAGUUGCUAGUUGCAUGGAAAGACAUAAAGGUAUGGUCCAAAGUUCAUACUAGCUUAAAUUGGAAGUCCGGAGCAUGGACCACUAAGUUUAAAAUUCUUAAACCCCAGUCGUUCUCAUCAGUUUAUCACUGGUUAGAUAUAUGUUUUUGCCCAUGCUUUCCACAUCCUGAUGUUCUCUUUCCGUUUUCGUAUGUCGGCAAUCACUUGAUCACAUCUAUAAAAAGUUAAAUAGAGCAUCCAUUCUCCAAUAUUAGUAGCCAUUUUUAUGUGUUCUUGAUUUAAACAUAUUCCAUGUCAAGAACAAACGGAUGCUAAAAUAUUGGAGAAUGGAUGCUCUAUAUUCCAAGAUCAGGGUUCUACCCAGAACAAAUGGCAUUAUUGAGAGUUGGGGCUAUAAAGUACUCAUGGUAUUUCUUACAUAAAGAACAACAAUCGUGAGAAAAUCAAAGUAUGUAGAAAUAAAAAUGCACAAGCUUCCAUUAGUUCAGACUUUGAUCCAUGCCGCCUAGCUGGACAGAAAACCUUCCAGUAAACCAUGAAACAUUUUUUUAGAAAAGGAGUAAACUAUGAAACAUGAAAGGAGCUAGGGAUAGAAAAGAAUGAGGAAACCCCUUGAAACACAAGACAUUAAAGAAAACAAACAGUAAAAUUUGUGCAGACAAGUCAGGGAAUGUCACUACACUGGCAAAUUGCUUUGACGCUGUACACUGGCAUUAUCAUAAGUCAUAAAAGGUACUCCCUAUGUGACUUUUUAUAAGACGUUUUUAGAGUCCGUGGCAGUGUCAAAAAACGUCUUAUAUUAAGUUACAGAGGUUGUAGCUUUCACACCAGACCAUUAGAUCUAAAGACUAACGGACUGCAGAAUAUCCCAGAGCCAAAGGGUCAGCAGAAAUCCUAGAAUCGUUAAGAAAAAAACAAGACCGGCAGGGGGGAGGAACCAGCAAAUCCACUUCAUCAUUUUCAUUUCUUCUGGGCGAGGGCCGAGGAGGCAAAAAAUAACUUCGAUCGAAGCUAACUGAACUGACACAAGUGAAACUUCAAGGCAAAAGUGAUACUGUAAUUAUUUUUCCAGGAGUACUAUAAGCAGAGAUCAAAGAUCACCGUCUUCUUCCUCAUCUUUUCAAGGGAUUAUAAAGGAAAUAAUGGUCAUUUCGCUUCUGGACUAGUCUAGAGCACUCACGAGAAGGCCCGGAGGAACGUGCCGGGAAGCGGCUCGCCUCCUGCUUCCCGCUGAUCUUGUUCGCCAUCCAGCUGAAAAUCUGCAAGGAAAACAGAGGAAUGGAGGAGGGGGUGAGCGGCGAAGCCGAUGCAGGUGCCGAGACUGCAAGAGGCAGAGUGAUGAGGAGCUGAUGACUGAGUGCGAGAGAGAUGUAGGCGAGAGGCCUCGCACUUGAAGUGGUGGUGGCUGCUGCUGCUACCGGCGAUGGAAGGAAGCGGUGUCACACAGUGAGUGGCAGUGUGGAGCUACUGCUACUCUACUAGUAGCUCGGCUUGCUUAUUGGAGCGAUUUGAAGGGGGGAGGCUCAAGUCCCGAGGCUUUGUAGCGUGGCUGAUGAGGUGCUGCUCGCUAUACAUACUUCAUCUGGCAUGUCACUUCCUGGCCUUAUUUUUCUCCGAGAUGUUGACAUUCCCUUUUCGGAGGAGCAUUAUGAGGUGGCGCCAGCCAGCCAGCCAGCCAGACGUGGGUUCUUAGCAGCUCGAGAAAAUCUCCCCCGUAUCAGCUGGUCGAUCCGUGUUUUCCCACAGAAAUUUACAGUCGAAAUGAUCUGUAUGUCCACGCUACUAGCCUUCAAGCGCAAAGGUAACUGUACUCUCGUCUAAGAAAAGUGUGAACUAACUGCAGUGUCCGCGAUUUAAACCUUGAUGAAAA